AUGCUUGCAAUGGACCAAAAAACUUAUGAGCUUAUCGGGACUGAUUAUCCUGGUAACAGGGCAGUGGAUGUGAAGGAUCCCUCGCUGAGUUGGAUGAUCGGGUUUAUGUUUCUAGUUAGCUUCAUUGGUAUUUUUAGUCUCGUUGCUCUGCGCAAGGUGAUGGUGAUUGAUUACAAGCUAACCUAUCGUAGUGGAACUGCCACCGCUGUGUUGAUAAAUAGCGUCCACAGCACUACUGGAGUUGAACUUAUAGAAAAACAAGUUAGCUACCUUGGAAAAUAUUUAAGCAUCAGUUUUCUUUGGAACUGCUUAAGUGGUUCUUCAGUGGUGUUGGGGACUCUUGUGGUUUUGAUAAUUUCCCUUCCCUGGGACUUGCAGCAUUUAAGAACACGUUUUUGUAUCCAUAUCCUUGAUACUCGGGGAUGGCAUUUAUAA
RNAcentral lists this ribosomal RNA (435 nucleotides) under Triticum aestivum (bread wheat). Its description in RNAcentral is "partial small subunit ribosomal RNA". The record is from RNAcentral. Lineage: Eukaryota; Viridiplantae; Streptophyta; Magnoliopsida; Poales; Poaceae.